GACGAACGCUGGCGGCGUGCUUAACACAUGCAAGUCGAACGGAAAGGCCCUGCUUUUGUGGGGUGCUCGAGUGGCGAACGGGUGAGUAACCAGUGAGUACCCUGCCCUUGACUCUGGGAUACCUUCAGGAAACUGCGGCUAAUACCGGAUAGGAGCUCCUGCUGCCUGCUGGGCGUUGGAAAGUUUCGGCGGUUGGGGCUGGACUCGCGGCUUCUCAGCUUGCUGGUGGGGUAGUGGCUUACCAAGGCUUUGACGGGUAGCCGGCCUGAGCGGGUGAACGGCCACAUUGGGACUGAGAUACGGCCCAGACUCCUACGGGAGGCAGCAGUGGGGAAUAGUGCACAAUGGGCGGAAGCCUGAUGCAGCAACGCCGCGUGCGGGAUGACGGCCUUCGGGUUGUAAACCGCUUUCGCCUGUGACGAAGCGUGAGUGACGGUAAUGGGUAAAGAAGCACCGGCUAACUACGUG
RNAcentral lists this ribosomal RNA (468 nucleotides) under uncultured bacterium. Its description in RNAcentral is "partial 16S ribosomal RNA". It matches the Rfam family "Bacterial small subunit ribosomal RNA", at positions 28 to 507 of the family's 1533-position model. The record is from RNAcentral.